GAAAUCUAAUUUUGGUUUUUAGUUAUUAAAUAUUAAGAGCUACAUAGUAUGAUAGUUGUUAAAUGGGUCAUUUUGUAUCACAUUUCAGGUGGUGAUUAAGAUAUUGGAAAAGCUUAUUGAUAUUCAUAGCAGCUUGUCUUGGUGAGUGGAUAAAACUUAAUUUUCAGAAACAAGUAUUCAUUAAAUUUUGAAGUUACUUAUUUUAUAAAGUUAAGUAGAUAGCAUGAUUUUCGAAAAAAAAAUUGAUUUUAUAAUUAGUUCUUUUUAAUGUUUAAUUCAGUUCAGUUAAAUCAUUUGAUUAGUAAGUUGUAUGAAUAUUAAAUGUUUCAGCAUAAUUAAAGUUAUUUUAAAAUCACCAGAAAGUACCCAAGUGAUUUUACCCCAAUCUGCACUGGUGUGAAUGUGUUUCCACAGUGUAUAACUAGUUAUGGUGAUUUUACCUGCUCUGCACUAUUGUGAAUGUGUUUCUAUAGUGUAUGAACAGAUUAUCAGAGGUCUCUAGGACCCACUCUCGUACACACAUAGGCUUUGGACCGUGUACUAGGGUGAUUAGCCUUUGGGGCAGCUCUGCGUACGUACGACCAGAUUAUCAAAUGUGAAUGAACUUGUCUUGUACAUCGAGAUUACUCUGUACAUGAGUAAUGCUAUUCAUAAGGUACCUUUUUGGUGGAAUUUUUCGGUAUUUUUACAGUUUAUCAGAUUUUAGAAUAUAGAAUUCAGUUAAUUCAGUUUUCAAAAUAAAUCUUUUAGCUUAUAGUAUUGAGUAGCAAUAAUAUUUCAUAGAUUUUCAUGGAUAUCAGAUUAAUUAUGUCAUUAUACUUUACAGUUGCUUAUCCAGAAUUAAGAACAAAGAAUUUUAUAAUGCAAUCAUGUUUAGUUUUAAAAGUGUUACCAG
RNAcentral lists this long non-coding RNA (895 nucleotides) under Olea europaea subsp. europaea. Lineage: Eukaryota; Viridiplantae; Streptophyta; Magnoliopsida; Lamiales; Oleaceae. The record is from RNAcentral.